GUAGUAAUACUUUUUUUAAGGUAUUACUUGGAUAAAAUCGAAAUGUAUUGCAUCAAGGUCCUGAUAAUAUCAAGCAGGGAAAGUCAUGGGUCCUUGUGUAGUGCUUCAUUACUGGUUACCUAAUUUGGGAUAAACAAUGUUAAGGUUCAAGGGUGAUUGAAGAUAAGAAAACUUUUGGCUUCUAGAGCUAUUUUGAGAUACCUAUGAGAUUACAAGAUAGCUUUGCCAAAAGGUUGUGUAGGAUUUUCAAAUUGUAGACCUAUCAUAAGACAACUAUGAGGUUUCGAGCAUGUAUUAAGUCUUAAUAAUGCUCUAAAACUACGGUAUUACAUCUAACUCUUAAGGUUUUAGUCUUUUUUUUCUUCUUAAUAUGAUGUUGCACUAAGGUAGAAAUUUCUUUUCCUAAAAUUUAGUUUAGU
RNAcentral lists this long non-coding RNA (419 nucleotides) under Carica papaya (papaya). Its description in RNAcentral is "long non-coding RNA (CPAP_LNC016682)". Lineage: Eukaryota; Viridiplantae; Streptophyta; Magnoliopsida; Brassicales; Caricaceae. The record is from RNAcentral.